AACUUGCCACCCAAGCUCCACUCGUCUCAGGAUAUUCCAGAUAUUUCCAAGGAAUUUAGCGAUAGUUGACUUUGUCUGUUAGCAUUCCCUUACAGCCAGUUGGUCUGUGGUUCAUGUUUCGUUAGCUUAGUAUGCUACUUGUGUGUUACCUGACUUGAAUGCCGUGAUUUGUGAAAACAUAUAUAAAGAUGUAGCGGCAAACAUACUGAAUUGGUUCUUUCUAUCAAAAGCGGUAGGGAAUGUCUACUCCCAGCAAGGGACAUGCACAGCCACCACCGCCGCCUGUAUCUAGUAUUUCAGAAGAGUCCGACCGAGAUGGGUAUGUAUCUUAGAGCUGCGUUUCUAAACCAGCCAUGCAGGACAUUGUAAGUUGUGACUGACUUAUUUAUCUUUUGAAUCAGGGACAAAGAAUUCGCUAUGCAAGGUGUUCAACCGUUGGGCAAAGAAACCGAAGCGGUUGGUGUGCUAGAAUCUAGUAUUGACAUGGAUGAUUGCUGGGAGGAUCCUAAUCAGAAAGGCUUGGAAG
Long non-coding RNA from Clupea harengus (Atlantic herring), 526 nucleotides. The record is from Ensembl. Lineage: Eukaryota; Metazoa; Chordata; Actinopteri; Clupeiformes; Clupeidae.